RNAcentral lists this long non-coding RNA (390 nucleotides) under Lonchura striata (white-rumped munia). RNAcentral describes it as "domestica (Bengalese finch) lncRNA (ENSLSDG00000010301.1)". The record is from RNAcentral. Lineage: Eukaryota; Metazoa; Chordata; Aves; Passeriformes; Estrildidae.
AUGCAAGAGUUCCACUGUGGCUCCUCAGACUCUGUUCCCAUCCUUGCCCUUCUGCCCAGGAAAUACCAUUUAAUGCAUGUGCCCAGUUACUGCAACAACUUUGAAGAAAGGAAGAGUAAGUCAAAGGCAAUGCAAGAAGGCAGGAUCUGGCAACAGAAGCUGUCAAGAUUCCAAACCCAGAAAUGCAAACACCUACUGUCCAAAUUAUUGUUGUACUGGUAGAAACAGGAUGUGAUCUAAGAUGAAGAGCUGUAAUAGUUUUGGGACUGUAUCUUGUAUUUCCAAAAGAAGAAUUGCAAGUCCAUUGAAAUGCAAGACUUAACUUCUGGAAUUGUACGCCAAAUAUACUCCAAAACAUUGUCUUCAUCAACAAAGGUAGGAUUUUUUAAA